Molecule: small nuclear RNA, 107 nt
Organism: Meriones unguiculatus (Mongolian gerbil)
Lineage: Eukaryota; Metazoa; Chordata; Mammalia; Rodentia; Muridae
Source: Ensembl
UUAGUCACUUCGGCAACACACAAACCAAAAUUGGAACAAUCUAGAGAAGAUUAGCAUGGCCCCUGUGGAAGGAUGAGACACAGAUUCAUGAAGUGGUCCAUAUGUCU